GCAGACACAUUCCAGCCAAUCAGCAGCAGACCCUCCCUCCCAGACCCUCCCACCUCCUGGACAGCUCACUAAGAAUGCAGCUUCACAAUGAAUAUAAAAUGGAUGCUGUCCAGGAGGUGGGAGGGUCUGGGAGGGAGGGUCUGCUGCUGAUUGGCUGGAAUGUGUCUG
Molecule: non-coding RNA, 168 nt
Organism: Pelobates cultripes (western spadefoot toad)
Lineage: Eukaryota; Metazoa; Chordata; Amphibia; Anura; Pelobatidae
Source: the annotation of a GenBank genome assembly